AGGGGAGUGAAAAAGAACCUGAAACCGUGUACGUACAAGCAGUGGGAGCACAGGUUUACCUGUGUGACUGCGUACCUUUUGUAUAAUGGGUCAGCGACUUAUAUUCUGUAGCAAGGUUAACCGAAUAGGGGAGCCGGAGGGAAACCGAGUCUUAAUUGGGCGUUAAGUUGCAGGGUAUAGACCCGAAACCCGGUGAUCUAGCCAUGGGCAGGUUGAAGGUUGGGUAACACUAACUGGAGGACCGAACCGACUAAUGUUGAAAAAUUAGCGGAUGACCUGUGGCUGGGGGUGAAAGGCCAAUCAAACCGGGAGAUAGCUGGUUCUCCCCGAAAGCUAUUUAGGUAGCGCCUCGUGAAUUCAUCUCCGGGGGUAGAGCACUGUUUCGGCUAGGGGGCCAUCCCGGCUUACCAACCCGAUGCAAACUGCGAAUACCGGAGAAUGUUAUCACGGGAGACACACGGCGGGUGCUAACGUCCGUCGUGAAGAGGGAAACAACCCAGACCGCCAGCUAAGGUCCCAAAGUCAUGGUUAAGUGGGAAACGAUGUGGGAAGGCCCAGACAGCCAGGAUGUUGGCUUAGAAGCAGCCAUCAUUUAAAGAAAGCGUAAUAGCUCACUGGUCGAGUCGGCCUGCGCGGAAGAUGUAACGGGGCUAAACCAUGCACCGAAGCUGCGGCAGCGACACUGUGUGUUGUUGGGUAGGGGAGCGU
Molecule: ribosomal RNA, 708 nt
Filed under: Salmonella enterica subsp. enterica serovar Enteritidis
Lineage: Bacteria; Pseudomonadati; Pseudomonadota; Gammaproteobacteria; Enterobacterales; Enterobacteriaceae
Description: partial 23S ribosomal RNA
Rfam family: Bacterial large subunit ribosomal RNA
Source: RNAcentral